UACGUAGGGUGCGAGCGUUAUUCGGAAUUACUGGGCGUAAAGCGUGCGCAGGCGGUUCGUUGUGUCGGUGGUGAAAGCCCCGGGCUUAACCUGGGAAUGGCCAUGGAAACUGGCGAACUGGAGUGUGGCAGAGGGGGGUGGAAUUCCGCGUGUAGCAGUGAAAUGCGUAGAGAUGCGGAGGAACACCGAUGGCGAAGGCAGCCCCCUGGGCUAGCACUGACGCUCAGGCACGAAAGCGUGGGGAGCAAACAGG
Molecule: ribosomal RNA, 253 nt
Filed under: uncultured bacterium
Lineage: Bacteria
Description: partial 16S ribosomal RNA
Rfam family: Bacterial small subunit ribosomal RNA
Source: RNAcentral